UACGUAGGGUGCGAGCGUUAAUCGGAAUUACUGGGCGUAAAGCGUGCGCAGGCGGUUUCGUAAGACAGACGUGAAAUCCCCGGGCGUCAACCUGGGAACGUGCACUUGUGACUGCACGGCUGGAGUGCGGCAGAGGGGGAGUGGAAUUCCGCGUGUAGCAGUGAAAUGCGUAGAUAUGCGGAGGAACACCGAUGGCGAAGGCAAUCCCCUGGGACCUGUCA
Molecule: ribosomal RNA, 221 nt
Filed under: uncultured bacterium
Lineage: Bacteria
Description: partial 16S ribosomal RNA
Rfam family: Bacterial small subunit ribosomal RNA
Source: RNAcentral